UCCCUUGUCACACAGACACCACCCAGCAAGGCCAGCAUGCUUCUGCUCUGGAGGAGGGCUGGGGCAGAGCAGGGUUUGUGUGCUCUGCCACAUGCAGUCCUUGCCUUCCCUGAGAGGAUCAAAAGCAUCGUUUACAGCCGAGAUUAUCAAAGCCAAUCUUUUGGUCUCAUUGGUCAAACUGAGGAAAUCUCCCAAGUGCUUGUACUGCUAAAAUAAGAUCUUGUUCAGUGGAGAUUAUGCAGAACCAUCUCUUUCCAGGCACAUUUUGUUAGCAAGGGAUUAACUAGGAAUGUUGACAUUUAAGUUGUUGUCACUGCAUAUUUGAGGCUGAGUGUACAUUAAUUACAGGGCAGCACAGCUCCCAGCCUCAAAGGUCCUUUUUUUAACAGAAGAAGGAACCAAGGCUGUGCUUCCCAGUGUGUGAGAGGGGUCAGAACUCCAGGAAGGAUUUCAAGGGGGAAGAUCAGGGCCCAAGGGGAGACAGGCUGGUGCUACAGAGGCAGCCUCAGCCAACACCAUAUUCAGGUGAAUGGGGCAGUGUGCACUGAUGGCAGAGACCGUCAUUUCAUCUUUUCAUAUUUAAGGAAUUGGGCAAUUACUAGAGGUUCUUUGAUAAAUAUGGCAGAACCAUAUUUAUCUCCAAAAGGGAAAGGAAAAAAAAAAAAAAAAGAGAGAGAGAGAGAAAGGACAAUGUCAUUUCUGCAACUUAGUUUGUCCCCUUGGUGCUAGGAUAGCAGGUAACCUCCAGGGCCACGCUCCCCUUUAUCCAGCCUAGGCAUCUCAGAUGACUCUGAACUACACCAGCUCAAAAUAUCAGUACAGCCAUCCAUCACAUCUCACUCACGCUGGAUUUCAAAUCUCAUUAGGAUCCAAGAAAACGCAGGCAGAAAUUCACAGUUUUGUUAUUGUCCUAAGUAUUUCCAGCACAAAUACACACAAAAUACCACAAGAGCAACGGUGCCUCAGCACACGGACAUAUGGCAGGAGCAGAAAAAGCCGCUCCGGUGCAAUUGUUCAGCUCUAUUUCAUGGAGAGAGCUGCACAGGGGGAGGGCUGAGCGCCGGGGAGAGGAACAGAGAAACACGCCAGGCUACACAGGGCUGACAGAGGGAGAGCAGGACGGCAGGGAGGGCAGGGCAGCGAGAGACGCGUGCGACUCCAGGGGAGAGACAGCAACGGCGGCACGAACCCCCCAAGGAAAGGAAGGGGAAAAAGGCGGGGAGGGGGAGCUGGGGAGCAAAGCUGUCAUCACCAGCCCCGAACUUGUUAGGAGGAAUAAAAGGCUAACCUGAGAGGCACGAGAGAGCCCUCCCUCCCCAGCAGCCUGCAGCAUAUGGCAGCAGCAGCCUGCAGGAUUCCAGUGCCACGGAGCAUGGCUGCCUGCCCUCUGAUGCCUGCACCUUUCUGCAGCAUCCGGCAAGUGUGAGGAGGCAACGGGCAAAAUGCAGACUAGCCCACUGGGCUCACAGGAAAUUUCUCAACAUGUGGUGCUUCGUGUGAGUGGGAUAACUGUCAGACAUUGCCUCUAAGGACAUGUUCCUCAGGGGGCUUGGACUGCUCAGAAAUCCUGGAUUCCUCCCCCAAGGCAGGCAGCUCCUGGUUCCCUGUCUCUGCACUGCUGUGCCACAUCCUGCCUGCUGCAACUGUGCUGUGAAAAUUGGGACAUUUAUCUGAUCCUCUGUGCUCCACACAGACAGUUUAGCUAAGGACAUCUCCCUUCACAUCCUCACUGCAACUGGGAGCUCCCAAGAGAAGCACCUAAACCUCCCAGGGACUGCGAACAGUCCCAGGAGCGGGACUGGAAAUUAAGCUGAGAGAAUUACAGUGCCACAGAAGGGAUACCUGAGAUACCUGCAAAUGAGCUUGUGGAGGCUCUGGAAGAAGACCAGGAGCUCUGGGAGCUGACUAAAAUGUACAUGCAGCUGCAAACUACUUGACAUAAACCACUAGACACUGGCAGUAGAAAGUAUGGGUCUUGCAGACUUUGCAGAAAAUAAUAUAUUGCAAACUUGUUGCUUGAGAUGUGAGGGGCCAAACGUCACAGACAUCUUUUAUGGAAAAUCCUUUCUUUAGGAUUUUUCCUCUUGAGAAGCUGAGAAGCCUCAAGAACAAAAUGUAAAUAAAGGUUAUCUGCUGCUGUAGAAUGCA
This 2148-nucleotide long non-coding RNA is filed under the name Zonotrichia albicollis (white-throated sparrow). RNAcentral describes it as "lncRNA (ENSZALG00000014170.1)". Lineage: Eukaryota; Metazoa; Chordata; Aves; Passeriformes; Passerellidae. The record is from RNAcentral.